This 509-nucleotide long non-coding RNA is filed under the name Callithrix jacchus (white-tufted-ear marmoset). RNAcentral describes it as "lncRNA (ENSCJAG00000079807.1)". Lineage: Eukaryota; Metazoa; Chordata; Mammalia; Primates; Cebidae. The record is from RNAcentral.
AAACAUGGACCUCUGAAUCUCAAGAGCUUUUUAUUCUAGACCAGGGAUCACAGCAUAUGGACAUGCAUCAGUGAGUGGAUCUGUCCAUUCCUUAAAAUGCCAUCAUCAGACAGCAAGUAAUCCUUUGCAGUUCUUCUUCCCACUGAACACAGCAGAAUCAUUCAGCUUUCUUGACAAAUUUGGGUCCCAACUUUGGGCUAUUGAGAUCACAACGCUUUUUUGGAGGAAUGACAACAGGAGUCUGGUGGGCUGACUGGUCAGGUACAGUACAGCUUGUUGAGGCACGGUUUUGCUCUGUUGCUCAGGCUGGAGUGCACUGGUGCUGUAACAGCUCGCGGUAGCCUUAAACGCAAGGGCUCAUGCACCCAUCUCAGCCUCUCAAACAGGUGGAACUACAGAGAAUUAAUCAGAAUUUGCUGUUGGCAGUAGGGAGAACACAACAACAGAAAAUAUGUAUUCUUGAAAAAAUACUUAAAACCCUGGAUCCUGUGCCACCCUGGUCCAUGUGA